This 370-nucleotide ribosomal RNA is filed under the name uncultured eukaryote. RNAcentral describes it as "partial 18S ribosomal RNA". It matches the Rfam family "Eukaryotic small subunit ribosomal RNA", at positions 592 to 976 of the family's 1831-position model. The record is from RNAcentral.
CAAUAGCGUAUAUUAAAGUUGUUGCAGUUAAAAAGCUCGUAGUUGGAUUUCUGGUCGGAAGCUCCUGUCCUCUGAUGAGCGUACAAGUGCGUCCUACCAUCCUUCUGUUAACCUUUAAGGCUUUCGCGGCUUUCUAGGGGCUCAGAUAUUUUACCUUGAGAAAAUUAGAGUGUUUCAGGCAGGCUAGCGCCGGAAUACAUUAGCAUGGAAUAAUGGAAUAGGACUUUUCCCUCUUCUGUUGGUCAUGAGGCUCGAGUAAUGAUUAAUAGGGAUAGUUGGGGGCAUUAGUACUUAACUGUCAGAGGUGAAAUUCUCGGAUUUGUUAAAGACUAACUUAUGCGAAAGCAUUUGCCAAGGAUGUUUUCAUUAA